Molecule: long non-coding RNA, 1069 nt
Organism: Bos taurus (domestic cattle)
Lineage: Eukaryota; Metazoa; Chordata; Mammalia; Artiodactyla; Bovidae
Source: Ensembl
AUCCAGGUGGACCCAGGAUCACAAGAUGCUUCCUUGUGGGAGAGGAAGGUAGGGAGAGAGCCAGGGAGACUGGACAAAGGACUCAGCCGGAGCCGCUUGCUUUGAAGAUGGAGGAAGGAGCCCCGAGUUAAAGAUUCCUGUGGCCUCUAGAAACUGGAAAAGGCAAGGUCGAGUCUCCCAGAAAACCUCCAGAAGGAACGCUGCCUUGAGGACGACCUUGACUUCAGCCCAGUGAGACACACUCCAGACUUCCGACCUCCAGACGCGCCUUGGGAGAGCUGUUGGGAAGUUGAAACGAGACAGGAAACGGAAAUGGCCGGUCCUUAAACACUUGCAGUACCCUGGCCCCAUCCUGGAUUCCAAACACAGAGUUCCAAAAUCACUGCAGACAGUGAGUGCAGCCAGGAAAUUAAUAAGACACUUCCUCCUUGGAAGAAAAGCUAUGACAAAUCUAGACAGCAUAUUCAAAAGCAGAAACAUCAUUUUGCUAACAAAGGUCCAUAUAGUCGAUACUAUGGUUUUUCCAGUAGUCAUGCACAGAUGUGAGAGUUAGACCUUAAAGAAAGCUGAGUGUCAAAAAAUUAAUGCUUUCCAAUUGUGGUGCUGGAGAAGACUCUUGAGAGUCCCCUGGACUGCAAGGAGAUCAAACCACUCAAUCCUAGAGGGAAUCAACUCUGAACAUUCACUGGAAGGACUGAUGCUGAAGCUCCAAUAUUUGGGCCACCUGAUGCAAAGAGCCGACUCACUGGAAAAGACCCUGAUGCUGGGAAAGAUUGAAGGCAAAAGGAGAAGGGGGAGGCAGAGGAUGAGAUGGUUAGAUGGCAUCACCAACUCGAUGGACAUGAGUUUAAGCAAACUCUGGAAGAUUCUAAAGGACAGAGGAGCUUGGUGUGCUGCAGGCUGUGGGGUGCAGAGUGUUGGACACAGCGACUGAGCAACAACAAAGAUGGCUGUUACAAAGCGGCAUCUUAAAACGGCACGUAUUUAUUCCCAAUAGACCUAGAAGCCGGAAGUCCAAAAUCUAUCUCAAUGGACUGAAAUCUAGGUGUCCCACAGGGCUGCUUCCUUC